GAAAGAUUCAUCGGAAGAGGAUGGGCAUGCGGCGCAUUAGCUUGACGGCGGGGUAACGGCCCACCGUGGCGACGAUGCGUAGGGGUUCUGAGAGGAAGGUCCCCCACACUGGUACUGAGACACGGACCAGACUCCUACGGGAGGCAGCAGUGAGGAAUAUUGGUCAAUGGGAGAGAUCCUGAACCAGCCAAGCCGCGUGAGGGAAGACGGCCCUAUGGGUUGUAAACCUCUUUUGUCGGAGAACAAAACCCGGGACGUGUCCCGGACUGCGUGUAUCCGAAGAAAAAGCAUCGGCUAACUCCGUGCCAGCAGCCGCGGUAAUACGGAGGAUGCGAGCGUUAUCCGGAUUUAUUGGGUUUAAAGGGUGCGUAGGCGGUCUGUUAAGUCAGCGGUAAAAUUGCGGGGCUCAACCCCGUCGAGCCGUUGAAACUGGCAGACUUGAGUUGGCGAGAAGUACGCGGAAUGCGCGGUGUAGCGGUGAAAUGCAUAGAUAUCGCGCAGAACUCCGAUUGCGAAGGCAGCGUACCGGCGCCAGACUGACGCUGAGGCACGAAAGCGUGGGGAUCGAACAGGAUUAGAUACCCUGGUAGUCCACGCAGUAAACGAUGAAUGCUGGUUGUCCGGGUCGAAUGAAACCUGG
RNAcentral lists this ribosomal RNA (640 nucleotides) under uncultured bacterium. RNAcentral describes it as "bacterial SSU rRNA". It matches the Rfam family "Bacterial small subunit ribosomal RNA", at positions 202 to 842 of the family's 1533-position model. The record is from RNAcentral.